Molecule: small nucleolar RNA, 84 nt
Filed under: Colletotrichum chlorophyti
Lineage: Eukaryota; Fungi; Ascomycota; Sordariomycetes; Glomerellales; Glomerellaceae
Source: RNAcentral
UGUCAAUGAUGAACAACCUUUUCAUUCAGUUCUGCUACUGAAUACUGUGAUGAUAACCCAUUUACCAAAACUCAUGUCUGACAU